This 490-nucleotide ribosomal RNA is filed under the name uncultured bacterium. Its description in RNAcentral is "partial 16S ribosomal RNA". It matches the Rfam family "Bacterial small subunit ribosomal RNA", at positions 30 to 507 of the family's 1533-position model. The record is from RNAcentral.
AUUGAACGCUGGCGGCAGGCCUAACACAUGCAAGUCGAACGGUAACAGGAAGAAGCUUGCUUCUUUGCUGACGAGUGGCGGACGGGUGAGUAAUGUCUGGGAAACUGCCUGUUGGAGGGGGAUAACUACUGGAAACGGUAGCUAAUACCGCAUAACGUCGCAAGACCAAAAAGGGGGACCUUCGGGCCUCUUGCCAUCGGAUGUGCCCAGAUGGGAUUAGCUAGUAGGUGGGGUAACGGCUCACCUAGGCGACGAUCCCUAGCUGGUCUGAGAGGAUGACCAGCCACACUGGAACUGAGACACGGUCCAGACUCCUACGGGAGGCAGCAGUGGGGAAUAUUGCACAAUGGGCGCAAGCCUGAUGCAGCCAUGCCGCGUGUAUGAAGAAGGCCUUCGGGUUGUAAAGUACUUUCAGCGGGGAGGAAGGGAGUAAAGUUAAUACCGUUGCUCAUUGACGUUACCCGCAGAAGAAGCACCGGCUAACUCCGUG